AACGAACGCUGGCGGCAUGCCUAACACAUGCAAGUCGAACGAUUGCCUUCGGGUGAUAGUGGCGCACGGGUGCGUAACGCGUGGGAAUCUGCCCUUAGGUUCGGAAUAACAGCUGGAAACGGCUGCUAAUACCGGAUGAUAUCGCGAGAUCAAAGAUUUAUCGCCUGAGGAUGAGCCCGCGUUGGAUUAGGUAGUUGGUGGGGUAAAGGCCUACCAAGCCGACGAUACAUAGCUGGUCUGAGAGGAUGAUCAGCCACACUGGGACUGAGACGCGGCCCAGACUCCUACGGGAGGCAGCAGUGGGGAAUAUUGGACAAUGGGCGCAAGCCUGAUCCAGCCAUGCCGCGUGAGUGAUGAAGGCCCGAGGGUUGUAAAGCUCUUUUACCCGGGAAGAUAAUGACUGUACCGGGAGAAUAAGCCCCGGCUAACUCCGUG
RNAcentral lists this ribosomal RNA (435 nucleotides) under uncultured bacterium. RNAcentral describes it as "partial 16S ribosomal RNA". It matches the Rfam family "Bacterial small subunit ribosomal RNA", at positions 29 to 507 of the family's 1533-position model. The record is from RNAcentral.